AGAGUUUGAUCAUGGCUCASGAUGAACGCUAGCGGCAGGCUUAACGCAUGCAAGUCGAGGGGCAUCSCGGGUAGUGAUACUUGGCGGCGACCGGCGGAAGGGUGCGUAACGCGUGAGCAACAUGCCCGUAUCAGGGGGAUAAACCAGGGAAACUUGGUCUAAUACCCCAUAAUAAAUUCAGGAGACAUCUUUUGGGUUUUAAAAUUACGAUGGAUACGGAUUGGCUCGCGUGACAUUAGUUAGUUGGUAAGGUAACGGCUUACCAAGGCGAUGAUGUCUAGGGGUUCUGAGAGGAAGAUCCCCCACACUGGAACUGAGACACGGUCCAGACUCCUACGGGAGGCAGCAGUGAGGAAUAUUGGACAAUGGAUGGAAAUCUGAUCCAGCCAUGCCGCGUGCAGGAAGACAGCCCUAUGGGUUUUAAACUGCUUUUGUAUGGGAGCAAUAAGGUCUAUGCGUAGAUCGAUGAGAGUACCAUACGAAUAAGGAUCGGCUAACUCCGUGCCAGCAGCCGCGGUAAUACGGAGGAUCCGAGCGUUAUCCGGAUU
RNAcentral lists this ribosomal RNA (548 nucleotides) under uncultured bacterium. Its description in RNAcentral is "bacterial SSU rRNA". It matches the Rfam family "Bacterial small subunit ribosomal RNA", at positions 8 to 551 of the family's 1533-position model. The record is from RNAcentral.